This 237-nucleotide microRNA precursor is filed under the name Cajanus cajan (pigeon pea). RNAcentral's name for it is "miRNA gene-KK1_032434". The record is from RNAcentral. Lineage: Eukaryota; Viridiplantae; Streptophyta; Magnoliopsida; Fabales; Fabaceae.
ACGAUCCAACCAUUCAAUUUAAAGUUCUUAAUGCAUAGAUCAAAUCUGUAAAUUUUUAAAAAAUUUAAAAACCAUUUGAUACUUCAUUUCAUUAAUUCAAAUUGACGGAUAAUCACAGAAUCAUUUUAUACAUUGAUUCGAAUUAAUGAAACAAAAUAUCAAAUGAUAUUCAAAUUUUCUAAAUAUUUGCAGAUUUGAUCUAUGCAUUAAGAACUUUAAAUUGAACGGUUGGAUCGU